Molecule: long non-coding RNA, 394 nt
Organism: Panthera uncia (snow leopard)
Lineage: Eukaryota; Metazoa; Chordata; Mammalia; Carnivora; Felidae
Exons: 3
Source: RefSeq, a predicted model, not a curated record
CAGGGCCCAUAUAUCAUGGCUUAACACAAAAUGGGGUUUGUCAAGGGUGUAAGAACAGAUGAACUGGUCAUAACAAACAAGUCCGGGACCAUCAAUGGAAGAUGAUAAAGGUACAUUCUGUGAGAGAUGGGACCUCAUCUGUUUCAUCCACCCUUGGAUUCGUGGCACACCUAGCAUAGCACCUGGCACAGAGGAGCGACACAAUAAAUGUGAAAUGAGUGACUGAUUUCAUCUGGCUGCCCUGACUAUACACAACAUAAACGCCGUCCACACUGAUUUGAUCUCAUUUAAUUACUUUUUUUUUCCUUUUUAAGUUAAAUUUCUCCACUGUUAAAAGUUUUCCAGUUGGCAAAAAUGCAGUCUACAGAAGGUUAGAUUCCAAUCUUAUACACAU